This 107-nucleotide small RNA is filed under the name Marmota monax (woodchuck). Lineage: Eukaryota; Metazoa; Chordata; Mammalia; Rodentia; Sciuridae. The record is from RNAcentral.
GCUGGGUGUGGUGGUGCAUGCCUGUAAUCCUAGCAGCUCAGGAAGCUGAGGCUGUGGGAUCACAAGUUCAAAACCAGCCUCAACAACUUAGUGAGACCCUGUCUCAA